RNAcentral lists this unclassified non-coding RNA (385 nucleotides) under uncultured fungus. RNAcentral describes it as "partial contains small subunit ribosomal RNA, internal transcribed spacer 1, and 5.8S ribosomal RNA". The stretch from base 1 to 73 matches the Rfam family "Eukaryotic small subunit ribosomal RNA", at positions 1759 to 1831 of the family's 1831-position model. Lineage: Eukaryota; Fungi. The record is from RNAcentral.
GCAAACUUGGUCAUUUAGAGGAAGUAAAAGUCGUAACAAGGUUUCCGUAGGUGAACCUGCGGAAGGAUCAUCACUGAUUCAGGGGGAGAGCGUAGCGUGUGUGUGCGUGCGUCGUGUGUUCUUUUUUCACGCGCGCGCGCAUGCACACCGCGCCACCCCAACCAAUCUUUUGUGCACGGUUUCACGGUCAACGAGACGCCGCGUGUGUGUGUUGGCGAGUGUGUGGCACAACACUACUACUACUCGCCAACCGCAUACGUCUAUGCGCGCUCUCUGCCUGCAAUCUCUUAUGCAAUCUCUGUCUAACAUUUAUUACCCAUAAAUAUUAACACACACAACUUUCAACAAUGGAUCUCUUGGCUCUCGCAUCGAUGAAGAACGCAGC